This 467-nucleotide ribosomal RNA is filed under the name uncultured bacterium. Its description in RNAcentral is "partial 16S ribosomal RNA". It matches the Rfam family "Bacterial small subunit ribosomal RNA", at positions 29 to 507 of the family's 1533-position model. The record is from RNAcentral.
ACGAACGCUGGCGGCGUGCUUAACACAUGCCAGUCGAACGGAAAGGCCCUGCUUUUGUGGGGUGCUCGAGUGGCGAACGGGUGAGUAACACGUGAGUAACCUGCCCUUGACUUUGGGAUAACUUCAGGAAACUGGGGCUAAUACCGGAUAGGAGCUCCUGCUGCAUGGUGGGGGUUGGAAAGUUUCGGCGGUUGGGGAUGGACUCGCGGCUUAUCAGCUUGUUGGUGGGGUAGUGGCUUACCAAGGCUUUGACAGGUAGCCGGCCUGAGAGGGUGACCGGCCACAUUGGGACUGAGAUACGGCCCAGACUCCUACGGGAGGCAGCAGUGGGGAAUAUUGCACAAUGGGCGGAAGCCUGAUGCAGCAACGCCGCGUGCGGGAUGACGGCCUUCGGGUUGUAAACCGCUUUCGCCUGUGACGAAGCGUGAGUGACGGUAAUGGGUAAAGAAGCACCGGCUAACUACGUG